This 571-nucleotide long non-coding RNA is filed under the name Patiria miniata (bat star). Its description in RNAcentral is "uncharacterized LOC119729716". The record is from RNAcentral. Lineage: Eukaryota; Metazoa; Echinodermata; Asteroidea; Valvatida; Asterinidae.
GUACUCCACUGACAUGAUUUGAUGGAGGUCCGCGUAGGAAACCAGUGAAGCCUGAAGUUUUUUAUCGAUCAUGUCGAUGUAUCAAAGAUCGUCAUUAUCGUAGGAUCUUUGGUUUUUUGGUUUUAUUGUGUAAAAAAAUGCUGUGCGUAGGUAAAGAAGUAAACUAGCAGUAGCACUGCAUUCACGUCAGUGUGUCCUACAAUAAUUGGCUACGGUGAAUGUCAGUGAUAAUCUGGGAUUUUGUAAGACUGGUGUGAGAUUCCGGCCGGAAGUGGGACCAUGAUGAAUACACAUCUAAUAACUUCCGUAUUGCUUCUGCUGCAUUUCGGAGGGACAGGCGUACAUUCCACCUUCACCAACGAGUUUAUAUCUAACAUUGAAGGAGGGCCGGAAGUUGCUGAUAACCUGGCAGCAAGUUAUGGAUACAUAAACUUUGGAGAGAUAGAGAACUUUCCAGAUCACUAUGUUUUUCAUCAUCUAGCGACAGAAAAGAGAUCCAUCAGACCAAGUAGAGGAGACCACACAGCAAUCAAACAUGAAGCCGCUGUAAGUCAACUCACAAAUGCUUAAA